GGUUAAGCGACUAAGCGUACACGGUGGAUGCCCUGGCAGUCAGAGGCGAUGAAGGGCGUGCUAAUCUGCGAUAAGCGCCGGUAAGGUGAUAUGAACCGUUAUAACCGGCGAUACCCGAAUGGGGAAACCCAGUGUGACUCGUCACACUAUCAUUAACUGAAUCCAUAGGUUAAUGAGGCGAACCGGGGGAACUGAAACAUCUAAGUACCCCGAGGAAAAGAAAUCAACCGAGAUUCCCCCAGUAGCGGCGAGCGAACGGGGAGGAGCCCAGAGCCUGAAUCAGCAUGUGUGUUAGUGGAAGCGUCUGGAAAGGCGCGCGAUACAGGGUGACAGCCCCGUACACAAAAGCGCACAUGCUGUGAGCUCGAUGAGUAGGGCGGGACACGUGGUAUCCUGUCUGAAUAUGGGGGGACCAUCCUCCAAGGCUAAAUACUCCUGACUGACCGAUAGUGAACCAGUACCGUGAGGGAAAGGCGAAAAGAACCCCGGCGAGGGGAGUGAAAAAGAACCUGAAACCGUGUACGUACAAGCAGUGGGAGCCCCACCACCAAAGCAUUCUCUGGUGUUGAAGGCCCUGCAAAGCAGCAUCGCGGUGGCGGAGCGUCGUUUGCGACGCCCAACACACAAAACAAGCGGUGAGUGCUUUGGGGUGGGGUGACUGCGUACCUUUUGUAUAAUGGGUCAGCGACUUAUAUUCUGUAGCAAGGUUAACCGAAUAGGGGAGCCGGAGGGAAACCGAGUCUUAAU
Molecule: ribosomal RNA, 747 nt
Filed under: Salmonella enterica
Lineage: Bacteria; Pseudomonadati; Pseudomonadota; Gammaproteobacteria; Enterobacterales; Enterobacteriaceae
Also listed under: 1 other name
Description: partial 23S ribosomal RNA
Rfam family: Bacterial large subunit ribosomal RNA
Source: RNAcentral